Molecule: non-coding RNA, 21 nt
Filed under: Caenorhabditis elegans
Lineage: Eukaryota; Metazoa; Nematoda; Chromadorea; Rhabditida; Rhabditidae
Source: RNAcentral
UGUAUGUAACUUUAGCAUAAU